Astatotilapia calliptera (eastern happy) is the source of this 1244-nucleotide long non-coding RNA. Lineage: Eukaryota; Metazoa; Chordata; Actinopteri; Cichliformes; Cichlidae. The record is from Ensembl.
GUGGAAUCUGAUGUGUGUUUACUGCCAUCAAUGUGAUGUUUGCCUGUUGUGCCGCCUAUUUUGCUGCUCUGUCAGCAAAAUUGUUGCCUGUAGUAAUGAAAGAGUCAGUAGGCGUUGUAAGAGGUUGGCAUGCUGGUUUGCCAGUUGGUGUAAUCAUUCCUCUGGUUUUCCAGAUUUUUUGCAAAAUGAUGCACAGCAGAGAAAACAUACUGGCUGUCUAUAUAAAUGGUUAUUUGUUUAUCUUUGUGUAUUUCACAUGCGCAACAAUCUCGUGUGAAGUGACCUUCCUCUCCACGGUUCUAGCAGGCGUUGUCUCUAUGUUAUCUGCUGUUUCUGCGUGGCUGUCUGCGGCCUUGGUGUUUGUGACUUUGCUCGCCUCUCUGUUCCUGAUAGCCACCUGCGAAUUAGUGUUUUAGUCUGUUGUCAACAGUCAGCCUUAUUUUUAAGUUACAGAAAGCUUCUCCCUUUUUUUGUUUUUUGUUUUUUUGUUUGGGAGAAUAGAUGCAACUCUACAUUUUCACUUAAGGCAGUUUUAGAUAAUUUGUAGUUCUUCAAACAAUGCAUGGAUCUCACACAUUUCAAACUUUCAAGUUAGGGUUGUUUCCCAUUUAUACAAAUAUAUAUAUUUAACUUUGCAUUGCUCACAGCUCAUAGCUCACAGCUCUAAACCUAGGCAUUUUUCAAUCAUAUGCCUAAUCACUAUGUGUCACUGUGAUUCUCAAUUAUGGUCACAAGUUCGUUUAAAUUCGUUUCCACAACCAACAAAAUAAUCAAACAAAACCAAAAAACAUAAACGUGUCAGGACACAAAAGAAAAAAAGAAAAAUGCUGCCACCCGAACAAGGCAGAAGUCUGCAUAUGUUGGCUUGUAAUAGCAUGCAGCUUGUAACAUGGUAGACUAAUGUGCCUGUGUUAAUUCAGCUCCAUAUUAUUGUGUGAAGUUGCACUGGGUUGGGAGUGGUUGUGUGUGUGUCACAUUUUUGGUGAGCCAAUGGCUGGAAUGGGGUUGGACUAAUUAGAGGCAGGUGUACUUGAUUGCACUGAUACACCGGUCUUCUUAUAGCCCACACUACAAACACUGCUGUGUUGUUUUGUCUCUCUGUGCAGGCCAGGGCCUAUUAUAUGCCACAGCCUAAAGGCAGCAGGGUUGCAGAGGCUUGAGUGACCACUGACUAUAUGCUUGCAGGGUGGUGGGUCUCCAAGGACAACUUCUAACCCUGUUAAAGGCAACAUGUGGAGUGCAAC